RNAcentral lists this ribosomal RNA (253 nucleotides) under uncultured bacterium. RNAcentral describes it as "partial 16S ribosomal RNA". It matches the Rfam family "Bacterial small subunit ribosomal RNA", at positions 524 to 776 of the family's 1533-position model. The record is from RNAcentral.
UACGUAGGGUGCAAGCGUUGUCCGGAAUUAUUGGGCGUAAAGCGCUCGUAGGUGGUCUAUCACGUCGGAUGUGAAACCCUGCGGCUCAACCUCAGGCCUGCAUUCGAUACGGGCAGACUAGAGUGUGGUAGGGGAGACUGGAAUUCCUGGUGUAGCGGUGAAAUGCGCAGAUAUGAGGAGGAAGACCGGUGGCGAAGGCGGGUCUCUGGGCCAUUACUGACACUGAGGAGCGAAAGCGUGGGGAGCAAACAGG